This is a long non-coding RNA of Aphidius gifuensis, 494 nucleotides long. RefSeq lists it as uncharacterized. The transcript has 4 exons. The record is from RefSeq and is a predicted model, not a curated record. NCBI's taxonomy places the organism in Eukaryota, Metazoa, Arthropoda, Insecta, Hymenoptera, Braconidae.
UGGGUACUAUAUUUAAUAAUGAGCUAUCACAAUCUGCUGGUGGAACACUUCCAAGUCUAUCGUCACAAAUAAAAAAUUCAGAUAUUGAACCAGCAUCUUUUUUGCCAAAACAAACACCGAUAUGUACUACAUUUAAUAACGAAAAAUCACAAUCUGCUGGUAGAACACUGAUAGGUUAUCCAAGUCUAUCAUUACAAUCAACAAAUUCAGAUUCGGAACCAGCAUUUUUUUUGCCAAAACAAACACCGUUGCGUACUACAUUUCAUAAUGAGCAAUCACAAUCUACUGGUGGAACACUGAUUGGUUAUCCAAGUUUAGCAUCACAAUCAAAAAAUUCAGAUAUUGAACCAGCAACAUUUUUUUUGAAAAGAAACACCGUUAGAUACUUUAUUCAAUAAUGCGCAAUCACAAUCUGCUGGUUCAACACCAAUUAGAUGUCCAAGUCUAUCAUCAAAAUCAAAAAAUUUAGAUCUAGAACCAGCAACAUUUUUGUC